GGUUUCGUGGUGUAGUGGUUAUCACGUCUGCUUCAUACGCAGAAGGUCGCGAGUUCGAGCCUCGCCGAAACCU
This 73-nucleotide transfer RNA is filed under the name Gigantopelta aegis. RNAcentral describes it as "tRNA-Met". It matches the Rfam family "tRNA". From Rfam's summary of the family: Transfer RNA (tRNA) molecules are approximately 80 nucleotides in length. Their secondary structure includes four short double-helical elements and three loops (D, anti-codon, and T loops). The record is from RNAcentral. Lineage: Eukaryota; Metazoa; Mollusca; Gastropoda; Neomphalida; Peltospiridae.